This 1426-nucleotide ribosomal RNA is filed under the name uncultured bacterium. Its description in RNAcentral is "16S ribosomal RNA". It matches the Rfam family "Bacterial small subunit ribosomal RNA". The record is from RNAcentral.
AACGAACGCUGGCGGCGUGGCUAAGACAUGCAAGUCGAACGGACUGCUCAAUUUAUUGGACAGUUAGUGGCGAAAGGGUUAGUAACGGGUGGGUAACGUACCCUGUGCUUUGGGAUAGCGUCAUCCCGACUUCGGUCGGGAUUUCCGAAAGGGGCGGUAAUACCAAAUAAUAUCAUUUGUCGAUAGGCGGAUGAUCAAAGAUUUAUCGGCACAGGAGCGGCCUGCCUCCUAUCAGCUUGUUGGUGAGGUAACGGCUCACCAAGGCAGCGACGGGUAGCGGGACUGAGAGGUUGGCCCGCAACAUCGGGACUGAGACACUGCCCGGACCUCCACGGAGGGCUGCAGUAACGAAUCUUGUGCAAUGGGCGAAAGCCUGACACAGCGACGCCGCGUGUAGGAGGAAGUCCUUCGGGAUGUAAACUACUGUCAGGGGGAAGAAAGUGCGCUUCGGCGCAUUGAUCUAACCCAGAGGAAGUCACGGCUAACUUCGUGCCAGCAGCCGCGGUAAGACGAAGGUGGCAAGCGUUGUUCGGUAUUACUGGGCUUAAAGCGUGUGUAGGCGGAAAGGUAAGCGUUGCGUGAAAUCCCCCGGCUUAACCGGGGAACUGCGCAACGAACUGCUUNNNNNNGAGGCAAGUAGGGGCGCAUGGAACUCUUGGUGGAGCGGUGGAAUGCGUAGAUAUCAAGAGGAACGCCAGUGGAGAAGUCGGUGCGCUGGGCUUGUUCUGACGCUGAGACACGAAAGCGUGGGUAGCGAACGGGAUUAGAUACCCCGGUAGUCCACGCCGUAAACGAUGCCUACUAGGUCGGAGGUUCUCUGACGGAGUUCCGGCCGAAACUAAAGCGAUAAGUAGGCCGCCUGGGGAGUACGGUCGCAAGGCUAAAACUCAAAGGAAUUGACGGGGGCUCACACAAGCGGUGGAGCAUGUUGCUUAAUUCGAUGCAACGCGAAGAGCCUUAUCCUGGGCUUGACAUGCUUGGAUGCUCAUCUGGAAACAGAGUAGGCUGCCCUUCGGGGUGAAACUUGCACAGGUGCUGCAUGGCUGUCGUCAGCUCGUGUCGUGAGAUGUUGGGUUAAGUCCCGUAACGAGCGAAACCCUUGUCGUUAGUUGCCAGCGCGUCAUGGCGGGGACUCUAGCGAGACUGCCGGUGUGAAACCGGAGGAAGGUGGGGAUGACGUCAAGUCCUCAUGGCCUUUAUGCCCAGGGCUGCAAACGUGCUACAAUGGCCGGUACAAACCGACGCGAGACCGCGAGGUGGAGCAAAUCGGAAAAAACCGGCCCCAGUUCGGAUUGGAGUCUGCAACUCGACUCCAUGAAGUUGGAAUCGCUAGUAAUCGUAGAUCAGCCACGCUACGGUGAAUGUGUUCCUGAGCCUUGUACACACCGCCCGUCAAGUCAUGGAAGCUGGGAGCGCCCGAAGUCGG